RNAcentral lists this ribosomal RNA (301 nucleotides) under uncultured bacterium. RNAcentral describes it as "partial 16S ribosomal RNA". It matches the Rfam family "Bacterial small subunit ribosomal RNA", at positions 509 to 807 of the family's 1533-position model. The record is from RNAcentral.
CAGUAGCCACGGUAAUACGAAGGGUGCAAGCGUUAAUCGGAAUUACUGGGCGUAAAGCGUGCGCAGGCGGUUUGUUAAGACAGAUGUGAAAUCCCCGGGCUCAACCUGGGAACUGCAUUUGUGACUGGCAAGCUAGAGUGUGGCAGAGGGGGGUGGAAUUCCGCGUGUAGCAGUGAAAUGCGUAGAUAUGCGGAGGAACACCGAUGGCGAAGGCAGCCCCCUGGGCCAACACUGACGCUCAUGCACGUAAGCGUGGGGAGCAAACAGGAUUAGAUACCCCCGUAGUCCCUGUCUCUUAUAC